CCUACGGGUCGCAGCAGUGGGGAAUAUUGCACAAUGGGCGCAGGCCUGAUGCAGCCAUGCCGCGUGUGUGAAGAAGGCCUUCGGGUUGUAUAGCACUUUCAGCGGGGAGGAAGGCGGGGAGGUUAAUAACCUCACCGAUUGACGUUACCCGCAGAAGAAGCACCGGCUAACUCCGUGCCAGCAGCCGCGGUAAUACGGAGGGUGCAAGCGUUAAUCGGAAUUACUGGGAGUAAAGCGCACGCAGGCGGUCUGUCCAGUCGGAUGUGAAAUCCCCGGGCUCAACCUGGGAACUGCAUUCGAAACUGGCAGGCUAGGGUCUUGUAGAGGGGGGUAGAAUUCCAGGUGUAGCGGUGAAAUGCGUAGAGAUCUGGAGGAAUACCGGUGGCGAAGGCGGCCCCCUGGACAAAGACUGACGCUCAGGUGCGAAAGCGUGGGGAGCAAACAGGAUUAGAUACCCCCGUAGUC
This 465-nucleotide ribosomal RNA is filed under the name uncultured bacterium. Its description in RNAcentral is "bacterial SSU rRNA". It matches the Rfam family "Bacterial small subunit ribosomal RNA", at positions 338 to 795 of the family's 1533-position model. The record is from RNAcentral.